This 260-nucleotide long non-coding RNA is filed under the name Erythranthe guttata (spotted monkey flower). Its description in RNAcentral is "long non-coding RNA (EGUT_LNC000328)". The record is from RNAcentral. Lineage: Eukaryota; Viridiplantae; Streptophyta; Magnoliopsida; Lamiales; Phrymaceae.
UCUCUUUGCAGAUUCACAUGACGCUAUUAGUUUAAAUUGAUUAUCAUCAACACCACUAAAUAUUGCGUUUAGGGCCCUCGAGUUGUAGUUUGCGAGUAGUAUUUCUCCAUCACUCCAAUCUGCUUCUGGUUUGAAUACUUCCGCUUUGUCUUCUCCUUUGAUCAUGGGAGGUGUCCAACCAGUUAUGAUGGCGCGCCAUGCUCUCUCAUCUAUGGAUUUGAUAAACAUCUUCAUUUUUGAUUUCCAGUAUGAGUAGUUGG